Molecule: ribosomal RNA, 308 nt
Filed under: uncultured bacterium
Lineage: Bacteria
Description: bacterial SSU rRNA
Rfam family: Bacterial small subunit ribosomal RNA
Source: RNAcentral
AGUGAACGCUGGCGGCGUGCCUAAUACAUGCAAGUCGAACGAUGAAGCUUCUAGCUUGCUAGAAGUGGAUUAGUGGCGCACGGGUGAGUAAGGUAUAGUUAAUCUGCCCUACACAAGAGGACAACAGUUGGAAACGACUGCUAAUACUCUAUACUCCUGCUUAACACAAGUUGAGUAGGGAAAGUUUUUCGGUGUAGGAUGAGACUAUAUAGUAUCAGGUAGUUGGUGGGGUAACGGCCCACCAAGCCGACGAUCAGUAGCCGACCUGAGAGGGUGACCGGCCACAUUGGGACUGAGACACGGCCCAA